UGCCUAGAGACAAACUAUUCUAGGUACCACCUGCCCAGUGAUUUUUCAUUAAACGGCCGCGGAAACCCGUGCAAAGGUAGCAUAAUCACUUGCCCUCUAAUUAAGGGCCUGUAUGAACGGAUAAACGAGAAAUUUCCUGUCUCUUGGGCACAACUAAAACCUAUCCUUUAUGUGAAAAGACAUAAAUAAUUAUAGUAGACAAGAAGACCCUACUGCACUUCAUUAUUUAAGAUCGUAAAAACUAUCUAAUUAAUUUGGUUGGGGCGACACCGGAUUCUUCCAUCCAUCCAAAUUUAAAAAGGACGCCCAUCCACAUAAAUUGACCCUCCUAAGAUUAAAGAACAAGCCACCAUAGGGAUAACAGGCCAAUCCCCUCAUAGAGCCCAUAUCGACGAGGGGGGUUGGCACCUCGAUGUUGGCUUAGGGUAUCAUAUAGGCGCAGCCGCCUAUAAAUGAAGGUUUGUUCAACCUACCAAACCCU
This 481-nucleotide ribosomal RNA is filed under the name Bonelliidae sp. RG-2015-2. Its description in RNAcentral is "partial 16S rRNA". It matches the Rfam family "Archaeal large subunit ribosomal RNA", at positions 1921 to 2666 of the family's 2987-position model. Lineage: Eukaryota; Metazoa; Annelida; Polychaeta; Echiuroidea; Bonelliidae. The record is from RNAcentral.